CAGUAGUCACGAGUUUGAUCCGUGGCUCAGAACGAACGCUGGCGGCAUGCCUAACACAUGCAAGUCGAACGAGACCUUCGGGUCUAGUGGCGCACGGGUGCGUAACGCGUGGGAAUCUGCCCUUGGGUUCGGAAUAACUUCGGGAAACUGAAGCUAAUACCGGAUGAUGACGUAAGUCCAAAGAUUUAUCGCCCAAGGAUGAGCCCGCGUAGGAUUAGCUAGUUGGUGAGGUAAAGGCUCACCAAGGCGACGAUCCUUAGCUGGUCUGAGAGGAUGAUCAGCCACACUGGGACUGAGACACGGCCCAGACUCCUACGGGAGGCAGCAGUGGGGAAUAUUGGACAAUGGGCGAAAGCCUGAUCCAGCAAUGCCGCGUGAGUGAUGAAGGCCUUAGGGUUGUAAAGCUCUUUUACCCGGGAUGAUAAUGACAGUACCGGGAGAAUAAGCUCCGGCUAACUCCGUG
This 463-nucleotide ribosomal RNA is filed under the name uncultured bacterium. RNAcentral's name for it is "bacterial SSU rRNA". It matches the Rfam family "Bacterial small subunit ribosomal RNA", at positions 1 to 507 of the family's 1533-position model. The record is from RNAcentral.